GCAUAUUAAUAAGCGGAGGAAAAGAAACUAACAAGGAUUCCCGCAGUAAGGGCGACUGAAGUGGGAAGAGCUCAUGAUGUGAAUCGAUGUCUCUGGCAUUGAGUUGUUGUCUAUAGGAUUUAGCGCUAAACCGCCGGGCUGAGUUCCUUGGAAUAGGACAGCUGAGAGGGUGAGACUCCCGUCAGCUUGGCAGUUGAAGCUGUUUCCGACGAGUCGAGUUGUUUGGGAUUGCAGCUCUAAGUGGGUGGUAAACUUCACCUAAGGCUAAAUACUAGUGAAAAACCGAUAGUGUACAAGUACCGUGAGGGAAAGAUGCAAAGAACUUUGAAAAGAGAGUUAAAGAGUACCUGAAAUUGCUGAAAAGGAAGCAGAGGAAACCAGUGUAUAGUCGAGUCAUACUUCCCUUUCUGCUUGCAGUUGGGGCGCUGUGGCUGACGCCGUUACCAUCGAUCUGACUUGAUGUAAUGGUUCUGGAUGGCUUGCCAUUUGGGACUUGUGUGAGGUUGCAUUGUUUGGGAACAAAAUGGUUUUCUCUCCCCCGUCUUGAA
This 548-nucleotide ribosomal RNA is filed under the name Anomoeoneis sphaerophora. Its description in RNAcentral is "eukaryotic LSU rRNA". It matches the Rfam family "Eukaryotic large subunit ribosomal RNA", at positions 38 to 658 of the family's 3401-position model. Lineage: Eukaryota; Bacillariophyta; Bacillariophyceae; Cymbellales; Anomoeoneidaceae. The record is from RNAcentral.